This 482-nucleotide ribosomal RNA is filed under the name uncultured bacterium. RNAcentral describes it as "partial 16S ribosomal RNA". It matches the Rfam family "Bacterial small subunit ribosomal RNA", at positions 30 to 507 of the family's 1533-position model. The record is from RNAcentral.
AUUGAACGCUGGCGGCAUGCUUUACACAUGCGAGUCGAACGGCAGCGCGGGGCAACCUGGCGGCGAGUGGAGAACGGGUGAGUAAUAUAUCGGAACGUACCCAGAAGUGGGGGAUAACGUAGCGAAAGUUACGCUAAUACCGCAUACGAUCUACGGAUGAAAGUAGGGGACCGCAAGGCCUUAUGCUUUUGGAGCGGCCGAUAUCUGAUUAGCUAGUUGGUGAGGUAAAGGCUCACCAAGGCGACGAUCAGUAGCUGGUCUGAGAGGACGACCAGCCACACUGGAACUGAGACACGGUCCAGACUCCUACGGGAGGCAGCAGUGGGGAAUUUUGGACAAUGGGCGCAAGCCUGAUCCAGCAAUGCCGCGUGAGUGAAGAAGGCCUUCGGGUUGUAAAGCUCUUUUGUCAGGGAAGAAACGGUAGAGGCUAAUAUCCUUUGCUAAUGACGGUACCUGAAGAAUAAGCACCGGCUAACUACGUG